Molecule: ribosomal RNA, 1006 nt
Filed under: Caballeronia sp.
Lineage: Bacteria; Pseudomonadati; Pseudomonadota; Betaproteobacteria; Burkholderiales; Burkholderiaceae
Description: bacterial SSU rRNA
Rfam family: Bacterial small subunit ribosomal RNA
Source: RNAcentral
GUCGAACGGCAGCACGGGGGCAACCCUGGUGGCGAGUGGCGAACGGGUGAGUAAUACAUCGGAACGUGUCCUGUAGUGGGGGAUAGCCCGGCGAAAGCCGGAUUAAUACCGCAUACGAUCUACGGAUGAAAGCGGGGGAUCUUCGGACCUCGCGCUAGAGGGGCGGCCGAUGGCAGAUUAGCUAGUUGGUGGGGUAAAGGCCUACCAAGGCGACGAUCUGUAGCUGGUCUGAGAGGACGACCAGCCACACUGGGACUGAGACACGGCCCAGACUCCUACGGGAGGCAGCAGUGGGGAAUUUUGGACAAUGGGGGCAACCCUGAUCCAGCAAUGCCGCGUGUGUGAAGAAGGCCUUCGGGUUGUAAAGCACUUUUGUCCGGAAAGAAAACCUCUGGGUUAAUACCCCGGGGGGAUGACGGUACCGGAAGAAUAAGCACCGGCUAACUACGUGCCAGCAGCCGCGGUAAUACGUAGGGUGCGAGCGUUAAUCGGAAUUACUGGGCGUAAAGCGUGCGCAGGCGGUUCGUUAAGACAGAUGUGAAAUCCCCGGGCUUAACCUGGGAACUGCAUUUGUGACUGGCGGGCUAGAGUAUGGCAGAGGGGGGUAGAAUUCCACGUGUAGCAGUGAAAUGCGUAGAGAUGUGGAGGAAUACCGAUGGCGAAGGCAGCCCCCUGGGCCAAUACUGACGCUCAUGCACGAAAGCGUGGGGAGCAAACAGGAUUAGAUACCCUGGUAGUCCACGCCCUAAACGAUGUCAACUAGUUGUUGGGGAUUCAUUUCCUUAGUAACGUAGCUAACGCGUGAAGUUGACCGCCUGGGGAGUACGGUCGCAAGAUUAAAACUCAAAGGAAUUGACGGGGACCCGCACAAGCGGUGGAUGAUGUGGAUUAAUUCGAUGCAACGCGAAAAACCUUACCUACCCUUGACAUGGACGGAACCUGGCUGAAAGGCUGGGGUGCUCGAAAGAGAACCGUCGCACAGGUGCUGCAUGGCUGUCGUCAGCUC